AUUGAACGCUGGCGGCAUGCUUUACACAUGCAAGUCGAACGGCAGCGCGGGCUUCGGCCUGGCGGCGAGUGGCGAACGGGUGAGUAAUACAUCGGAACGUGCCCGGUAGUGGGGGAUAGCUCGGCGAAAGCCGGAUUAAUACCGCAUACGACCUGAGGGUGAAAGCGGGGGAUCUUCGGACCUCGCGCUAUUGGAGCGGCCGAUGGCAGAUUGGCUAGUUGGUGGGGUAAAGGCCUACCAAGGCGACGAUCUGUAGCUGGUCUGAGAGGACGACCAGCCACACUGGGACUGAGACACGGCCCAGACUCCUACGGGAGGCAGCAGUGGGGAAUUUUGGACAAUGGGCGAAAGCCUGAUCCAGCAAUGCCGCGUGUGUGAUGAAGGCCUUCGGGUUGUAAAGCACUUUUGGCGGGAACGAAAAGGACUGUGCCAAUACCACGGUUCGAUGACGGUACCCGCAGAAUAAGCACCGGCUAACUACGUG
RNAcentral lists this ribosomal RNA (484 nucleotides) under uncultured bacterium. Its description in RNAcentral is "partial 16S ribosomal RNA". It matches the Rfam family "Bacterial small subunit ribosomal RNA", at positions 29 to 507 of the family's 1533-position model. The record is from RNAcentral.